RNAcentral lists this long non-coding RNA (1419 nucleotides) under Helianthus annuus (common sunflower). Lineage: Eukaryota; Viridiplantae; Streptophyta; Magnoliopsida; Asterales; Asteraceae. The record is from RNAcentral.
AAAGUCUGUUUCUCUCUCUCCCUCGUGACCAUACACCGGAGCCGGAGACGAGGACCGAGCUCCGGUACCUUUCGUCUUCUCCGAUGAUCACACGACACCCCCACACCCUGAGCAUCCACCUCACCGCACAUCCACACCUCCCCUCUCCUGUCUCUUCGUCGAGUGGCGGUUGGCAGCGCCGCCUGAAGCGGCGGCGGUGGUGGCCACUGUCGCUGAUUUCCGGCGAAACACACCCCCCUUUUAGCGAUCCAGCAAAUGAUCACCACCACCACGGUCCGGUGGUGGUGCGGCGACGGUAACAAGCGGGAGAGAGAGAGAACGAGAGACGGCGGAGCACAGCAGUAGCGGCAGCGGUGGUAGGCAUCUCAGACCGACAGUCGACGUCUCGGACCGGCAGUCGGUGUCUCGGUCCGGCGGUCUGAGUCAAGGACCGGCGGUCCUUGCCAUUAUUCGACGGGGUCUGUUCGGAAGUCCUUGUUCGGGUCAGGUUAGUUCAAGUUAAAAGCUGGUUCUUGUCGGCUCAUGCUCAGAGUCGUUCCGGAUUUGGUGCUCGAGUCAGCUCGGUUCGUUCGGGUCAAAACUUGUUCAACACAGUAUUGUUCAAGGUCUGGGUUACUCAGUUUAAACUCAGAUACAGUGUUGGAGAUUAUUUCGGGAGUUUCGGGUCUCGUUUCUGGACAAAGUUGCUUUGGUUCAGAUUUCACUUUGGUUUCCGGUGCGGCUUGGAUCUCGGCUCAGAUUUCACAGUAAACAAAGUCAACAACGGUCGGGUUUGGUCAGCUUUGGUCAACCUGUGGUGCGGGUCGCGCGGUUCGGUUCAGUCAACGUGGGUCAGCGGUGGUUCGGGUUCGUGAAUCGGGUCGACUCGGUGCAACUCGGCUCGACCCGGUUAACUCAUUAAUUGACUCGGUCAAACUGAGUCAACUCAGCCGACCAACUCAGUUGACCCAGUCAACUCGGUCAACACGCGUUUCGGCAUAAUGAUUUGGAAUAUUGUAGAUUGCACACUAGAUCCUCAAGGAGAUUGGUGAUAUCAAGAAACAGAAGAGAUCAGUGGAGGAUCAUUCUCCAUUGAUGCCUAGAUCGCUGAAUUUCGACACUCCGGUCAUAACCUCCCAGCAUUCUGCAGCUCCGGAUGUCCAAUACCUGGGUGGAUUAGCAAGAAUGCGUUCUGGAUCAUCGGCAAUGACUCAGGCUCUAGGAUCCUACUUUCAACCUUCAGGAUCCUCUGUUCAACAUCAAGGAUCCUUCUUCCAGCAUCAGGGAUCCUUCACCAGUUCAGGAGGGUACAUGGGGACACAGCCAGCUCAAGGAUCCUCUCAGUUUCAAGGAUCCUCUCAGGUUCAAGGAUUCUCUCAAGUUCAAGGAUCUUCUCAGGUUCAAGGAUUCUCUCAGGUUCAAGGAUCCUCCUUUCAGCCU